Alexandromys fortis (reed vole) is the source of this 846-nucleotide long non-coding RNA. RefSeq lists it as uncharacterized. NCBI's taxonomy places the organism in Eukaryota, Metazoa, Chordata, Mammalia, Rodentia, Cricetidae. The record is from RefSeq and is a predicted model, not a curated record. The transcript is spliced from 4 exons.
GCCCUGGGACUUCCUGAUCCUCCUGGCAUAUAAAUACCAGGGCAGGCCAGUGUGGCACAGCGCAGUGAGCAGAAACCCUCAGGCAAGCUGAGCCUUCCUUCCAGGAGGAUGAGGAACUUGAGAGCUGUUUCCUUCUUUAUCCUUGUGGCUGUCCUUGGAUCCCAGGCUGGGAUCACACCUGCAAUAAGAGAAAAGAGGGACAUUCAUCACAUUGAACCUCACGCAGUUUAUCAGAGCAUUCUAAAUGCUCCAGACUGCUGAUUCUCCUACGUCUACAUCUCAGAGAUCCUGUGCUCAAGAUUUGUAUAUUAUUUUCCAACCAGUGGUGGAUGCAUCAAACCAGGCAUCAUAUUUGUCUCCAAGAGAGGGAUCCGGGUCUGUGCCAAUCCCCUUGAUCAGGAAGUUCGGGAGUGCAUAAGACGGCUAAUGCAAAUCCCGGGACCUAGGAGCACUGCCAUAGCUUGAAGAGGCCUUAUACUGCCAGUCACUUCUUUCUGUCAUCCCCAGUGACCAUCUAGGAGGCUCUAAGUAUUUAUUUUUAUAGAUGCUUAAAACGUUCAUUCUGCUCUUCUGGUUGAAAGCAGCUCAUGUAGCAUUUAUAUGGACUUUUUUGCAUAGUUCCUCUGUAGAUCAUAAAAAGAUAAACGAUUAGAGUGGCCUCUGGGGCUUCGGAAUGUGUCUGGCUCUGAUACUAACAAGCCAGGUCCAUCAAGCCAAUAUGAAAAGAGUUUUGCCCUAGCCCAUAUACAUAUUCAACUUUGUGAGAGCCCAGCUGUUUUUCUACCACCCUAGAGCAGUAAGCAUCACCCUCACCCCCCAAAAAUAAAGUGUAUCCAUGUAGCCACA